GAGAGGUCCCUGCCCUCAGCCGUUUAGCUAUUUAAACGUCAUCCCAUCAGACGGUUAAAACUAUUCUGAAUUCUGAACAUUCUGGUGCUAAAGGGAAUGAGGGUAGUCAUCCCUCUCAU
RNAcentral lists this microRNA precursor (119 nucleotides) under Medicago truncatula (barrel medic). Its description in RNAcentral is "MIR5294 microRNA precursor family". It matches the Rfam family "MIR5294 microRNA precursor family". Lineage: Eukaryota; Viridiplantae; Streptophyta; Magnoliopsida; Fabales; Fabaceae. The record is from Rfam by way of RNAcentral.